GUGUCAGCAGCCGCGGUAAUACGUAGGUGGCAAGCGUUGUCCGGAAUUAUUGGGCGUAAAGCGCGCGCAGGCGGUUCCUUAAGUCUGAUGUGAAAGCCCACGGCUCAACCGUGGAGGGUCAUUGGAAACUGGGGGACUUGAGUGCAGAAGAGGAGAGCGGAAUUCCACGUGUAGCGGUGAAAUGCGUAGAGAUGUGGAGGAACACCAGUGGCGAAGGCGGCUCUCUGGUCUGUAACUGACGCUGAGGCGCGAAAGCGUGGGGAGCAAACAGGAUUAGAUACCCUGGUAGUCCACGCCGUAAACGAUGAGUGCUAAGUGUUAGAGGGUAUCCACCCUUUAGUGCUGUAGCUAACGCAUUAAGCACUCCGCCUGGGGAGUACGCUCGCAAGAGUGAAACUCAAAUGAAUUGACGGGG
Molecule: ribosomal RNA, 415 nt
Filed under: uncultured prokaryote
Description: bacterial SSU rRNA
Rfam family: Bacterial small subunit ribosomal RNA
Source: RNAcentral